RNAcentral lists this ribosomal RNA (429 nucleotides) under Chloroflexota bacterium. RNAcentral's name for it is "Chloroflexi bacterium partial 16S ribosomal RNA". It matches the Rfam family "Bacterial small subunit ribosomal RNA", at positions 355 to 776 of the family's 1533-position model. Lineage: Bacteria; Bacillati; Chloroflexota. The record is from RNAcentral.
UGGGGAAUAUUGCACAAUGGGCGCAAGCCUGAUGCAGCCAUUCCGCGUGUGUGAAGAAGGCCUUCGGGUUGUAAAGCACUUUCAGCGUGGAGGAAGGCGGUGAGGUUAAUAACCUCACCGAUUGACGUUACCCGCAGAAGAAGCACCGGCUAACUCCGUGCCAGCAGCCGCGGUAAUACGGAGGGUGCAAGCGUUAAUCGGAAUUACUGGGCGUAAAGCGCACGCAGGCGGUCUGUCAAGUCGGAUGUGAAAUCCCCGGGCUCAACCUGGGAACUGCAUUCGAAACUGGCAGGCUAGAGUCGUGUAGAGGGGGGUAGAAUUCCAGGUGUAGCGGUGAAAUGCGUAGAGAUCUGGAGGAAUACCGGUGGCGAAGGCGGCCCCCUGGACAAAGACUGACGCUCAGGUGCGAAAGCGUGGGGAGCAAACAGG